RNAcentral lists this ribosomal RNA (1255 nucleotides) under Citrobacter murliniae. RNAcentral's name for it is "bacterial SSU rRNA". It matches the Rfam family "Bacterial small subunit ribosomal RNA", at positions 96 to 1347 of the family's 1533-position model. Lineage: Bacteria; Pseudomonadati; Pseudomonadota; Gammaproteobacteria; Enterobacterales; Enterobacteriaceae. The record is from RNAcentral.
CGGCGGACGGGUGAGUAAUGUCUGGGAAACUGCCUGAUGGAGGGGGAUAACUACUGGAAACGGUAGCUAAUACCGCAUAACGUCGCAAGACCAAAGAGGGGGACCUUCGGGCCUCUUGCCAUCAGAUGUGCCCAGAUGGGAUUAGCUAGUAGGUGGGGUAACGGCUCACCUAGGCGACGAUCCCUAGCUGGUCUGAGAGGAUGACCAGCCACACUGGAACUGAGACACGGUCCAGACUCCUACGGGAGGCAGCAGUGGGGAAUAUUGCACAAUGGGCGCAAGCCUGAUGCAGCCAUGCCGCGUGUAUGAAGAAGGCCUUCGGGUUGUAAAGUACUUUCAGCGGGGAGGAAGGUGCUGAGGUUAAUAACCUCAGCAAUUGACGUUACCCGCAGAAGAAGCACCGGCUAACUCCGUGCCAGCAGCCGCGGUAAUACGGAGGGUGCAAGCGUUAAUCGGAAUUACUGGGCGUAAAGCGCACGCAGGCGGUCUGUCAAGUCGGAUGUGAAAUCCCCGGGCUCAACCUGGGAACUGCAUUCGAAACUGGCAGGCUAGAGUCUUGUAGAGGGGGGUAGAAUUCCAGGUGUAGCGGUGAAAUGCGUAGAGAUCUGGAGGAAUACCGGUGGCGAAGGCGGCCCCCUGGACAAAGACUGACGCUCAGGUGCGAAAGCGUGGGAGAGCAAACAGGAUUAGAUACCCUGGUAGUCCACGCCGUAAACGAUGUCGACUUGGAGGUUGUGCCCUUGACGCGUGGCUUCCGGAGCUAACGCGUUAAGUCGACCGCCUGGGGAGUACGGCCGCAAGGUUAAAACUCAAAUGAAUUGACGGGGGCCCGCACAAGCGGUGGAGCAUGUGGUUUAAUUCGAUGCAACGCGAAGAACCUUACCUACUCUUGACAUCCAGAGAACUUAGCAGAGAUGCUUUGGUGCCUUCGGGAACUCUGAGACAGGUGCUGCAUGGCUGUCGUCAGCUCGUGUUGUGAAAUGUUGGGUUAAGUCCCGCAACGAGCGCAACCCUUAUCCUUUGUUGCCAGCGGUUCGGCCGGGAACUCAAAGGAGACUGCCAGUGAUAAACUGGAGGAAGGUGGGGAUGACGUCAAGUCAUCAUGGCCCUUACGAGUAGGGCUACACACGUGCUACAAUGGCGCAUACAAAGAGAAGCGACCUCGCGAGAGCAAGCGGACCUCAUAAAGUGCGUCGUAGUCCGGAUUGGAGUCUGCAACUCGACUCCAUGAAGUCGGAAUCGCUAGUAAUCGUAG